RNAcentral lists this long non-coding RNA (983 nucleotides) under Zea mays. Its description in RNAcentral is "long non-coding RNA (ZMAY_LNC002543)". Lineage: Eukaryota; Viridiplantae; Streptophyta; Magnoliopsida; Poales; Poaceae. The record is from RNAcentral.
CCGACUUCACCUCAAGGGAAGCAAGCAGACCUCGCUACAUCGCGCGAUGCUGUCAUUCCACGAAUUUGUAUCUGCGUAUGACUACAUAUAUAUCUCCGAAAUUCCCUCGAAUUUAUCUGUUAUAUUCAGAUCGCAAUAUCUCCUUACCCUGACAGCCGGGUUGGAUUGAGAAAAGAAAAGCUUUACGAAGCGUUCUAUGCGUCAUUCCUCGGUCCUCUGGCCUCCAGUAGCAGUAGCAGGAUCAGGAUCAGGGCCCGUUUGGGGACGGAGAUGCUGAUACGGCGGCACCGCGGCAGUAACUUCAGGCCUGGUCGUCCGGGGACUCCGUGGAGGUAAAACCCAGUGCUGGUAGUUUCUCGUGUCUGCUAGAAUAACAUCACCAUCAACUAAAGCAUGCGGAGUCGUACAGCAACACUGUAGGCAGCGAACGGCUGUACAUGAGACCAGAUCUGGAACAAACAAGGAGUCAGAGUCAUUUACUACUACGGUGACCGACCGGCGAUCUGAAGCAUGAACAGCCACACAGGUAAAAACCAUCAGAGUACAUUCGGAGUUCCCUGCACUGUCAAUAGAGCCUGCGAGAAUACUGUAGCACAAGGCUCGAUCCGGGCGAGAUCUGGUCUGGUCUGAACUCUGACCAGAUCAAUCCUCGGUGUCACAACACAGCCACCCGGCCGAAGGUGAAAAACAAAAACUGGAUCCCCCACCCUCACAGAGUGAGGUCGUGGUACUGGCACCUCCUCAACCAGGUCAGAAUUGGAGCACAGGGCGGUGGUGGUACAAUCUGUCAUGCCUCAUGCGCCGGUGCUCGCCCCAGCCUCGGCAGUUUUUAUUGCGAGGUACACCACUGCUACAGGACGAUCAGUGACUCAGGACUGUAUACUAUACUACUAUUCCAAUGAAUGCGAAUCGUUGUUCUUGCGUGGGAACAACAGUCGUGCGUGCCUCCUUCGCUACUCGAGUACUCGUUACUCUCUCACUCC